UUUGGCUGCUCGCUACAUAAAGUUGAUCUUUGCACAUACCUCGCGAAAAUUUUUGCAAUCAGUGAAAAAUACAAGUGAUCAGUAAUAGAGAAAACCAGGAAACGAUUCCCUGCAGUGAGAGCCGUAAUAUUUCGCUCAUCCAUUUUCGCUGGUGUGUCACUGUCGGAAACGUACGGUGCCCAGCUUCCAGAAAGCUGCAUCAGGACGAGAUCGGACGAUCUCUACGCUAAAUUUCUGGAGGAGCGGCCAACGCGACUCUCUCGCUCUCCAGACCCUGGUUCCGAGCCAAAGUAAGCCGAUAUACGCAGCCGGCGAGGAACCAGCUCCCAUAAGGGAAGCGCUCUACAAACGCGCCCUGACAUGAAUACCUAAGGAGGAGCUCCUAUUUGUGCGUCGAACAAGAAUGCGGACUUAAUUCGUUUCGUCUGCGUCGAGCCCGAGUGGAUGCUUCAGAUUUUCUGUUUCGUCUCUCCGCCUGGGAUGGGGCAAGAGCCACUUCUCUCUGGCAACUCUGCUGCCACUCUAGUGCGGGUAGCUUCUUUCUGCUCGGCGAGAUUCCGCAGGCAAUGUGAGCCUGGCAGCGUGCGUCGCCAAUCCGGACAUCGUCCCUAACCUCGAAGAUCCUAUAGAGAUUUUCCAAGGCAGCGUGCGUCGCCAAUCCGGACACCGUCCCAAACCUCGACGAUCCGAUAAAGAUCUUCCCAGGAAGCGUGCGCCAAACCGGCUCGCCUACGUGCAUGCGUGUAUUGACCUGGAGAUGGGCGCACUGCCAUAGCGUGGGAUAUAUUGUUGUAUAAGUCUAUUUUUCCACUUAAUUAGUACGCUUCUCGUGUAAGAGACAAAAGACAUGCGCGCUUUCUGUAUAUGCUGUGGACCGUAGAGGAGAAUCCAUUAGGAUUGUUGGGUACACGACCCCAGACCGUUUAACCGUGGAGAACCACACUUUGUUUCAGCAACCACGUCGGAAGAUCGAUCUUUCGCCGAGGGAUGUUCCAGAUCGAGUGAGUGAACAAAUGUAAGAGUCCCAUGUGUAACCCAGUAGAUUUGAAUCGCCAAUUGGGCGUUAAAGUGACCAAUCCUACCGUGUUCUCUCUAUAAGUCCAGCGCGAAUUCGUUUAUUAACCUUAACCUAUCGUAAAUAUCGAGAAUAGACCGUACUUUUGAAUCUGGUUCGGUCUCAAAGCCUCGAACAAUUUGACUGAUCGACAAGUCACGAAUAAAAUCAAACGAUAUUAGCUUAAAUCAAGAAUAAUGCCUGAAUUCCAAAAGAUCCAAAUUUUAAACUUCAGUUAAGUGAAACAGAACGCGAAAAGUCUGAAAUUUGAAAACCGAACUAAUGAUUAAUAGAAAAUUUGUAGAAAGUAAAUAUUCCUUUGUAGUUUAUACCUCUUUAUCAUACAGUAUCUCCAUAUAUAUAUAUCUUUAAGCCAUCAUAUACCUCCAUUAUAUAUUGUUACCAUUUAUUAUAUUACUUCAUAUUUUUGUCGCCAUCGCUUUUGAAUUAUGAUACCCGUUAAUUAGAAUUAAGGAUAGAAAUGAAGCUGAAUAUAUUGAAUUACCGAAA
Molecule: long non-coding RNA, 1564 nt
Organism: Drosophila obscura
Lineage: Eukaryota; Metazoa; Arthropoda; Insecta; Diptera; Drosophilidae
Exons: 2
Source: RefSeq, a predicted model, not a curated record